RNAcentral lists this long non-coding RNA (503 nucleotides) under Brassica napus (rape). Its description in RNAcentral is "long non-coding RNA (BNAP_LNC022600)". The record is from RNAcentral. Lineage: Eukaryota; Viridiplantae; Streptophyta; Magnoliopsida; Brassicales; Brassicaceae.
GUGCCUGAUGGAGGCUUAUGGCUACCCGGGGGUGGAGGGCAAUCUUUUCCUCCUGGAGUAGGAGGGUUUGUCCCCGGAGGAAGAAUAGGACCCACAAUCGGCAAUGGUGGCAGUGGCAAUGUGGGUAGCCCUCCCACCGGAGGUAUGGGUAGCCCUCCAACCGGAGGUAUGGGUAGCCCUCCCACCGGAGGAAGUGGUAGUUCUGGGACGGUCACGGGAGGUACAGGUAGCUUUGGGACGGUGACAGGUGGAACAGGUAGCUUAGGAACUGUCACCGGAGGAACUGGAAGCUUAGGUACGGUCACUGGAGGAACAGGUAGCUUUGGAACUGUCACCGGAGGAACUGGAAGCUUAGGGACAGUCACUGGAGGAACGGGUAGCUUGGGAACAGUUACAGGGGGUUUAAUGGAGGGUUUUCCACCCUUCCUGUGGUUGCAGGAGCCACAUGAGAAGGAUUGUUGGGGAAAGAAGAUAAUGCAAAUGAGAAUGAAACAGAGAGAAAG